UACGGAGGGUGCUAGCGUUGUUCGGAAUUACUGGGCGUAAAGCGCACGUAGGCGGCUUUGCAAGUCAGAGGUGAAAGCCCGGGGCUCAACCCCGGAAUUGCCUUUGAGACUGCAUCGCUAGAAUUGUGGAGAGGUAAGUGGAAUUCCGAGUGUAGAGGUGAAAUUCGUAGAUAUUCGGAAGAACACCAGUGGCGAAGGCGGCUCACUGGCCCGAUACUGACGCUGAGGCGCGAAAGCGUGGGGAGCAAACAGG
Molecule: ribosomal RNA, 253 nt
Filed under: uncultured bacterium
Lineage: Bacteria
Description: partial 16S ribosomal RNA
Rfam family: Bacterial small subunit ribosomal RNA
Source: RNAcentral